Chlorocebus sabaeus (green monkey) is the source of this 88-nucleotide microRNA precursor. Lineage: Eukaryota; Metazoa; Chordata; Mammalia; Primates; Cercopithecidae. The record is from Ensembl.
GUAUUAGGUUGGUGCAAAAGUAAUCACGGUUUUUGCCAUUACUUUCAAUGGCAAAAACCACGAUAACCUUUGCACCAACCUAAUACAA